This 251-nucleotide unclassified non-coding RNA is filed under the name plant metagenome. RNAcentral describes it as "partial contains small subunit ribosomal RNA, internal transcribed spacer 1, and 5.8S ribosomal RNA". The stretch from base 1 to 54 matches the Rfam family "Eukaryotic small subunit ribosomal RNA", at positions 1778 to 1831 of the family's 1831-position model. The record is from RNAcentral.
GGAAGUAAAAGUUGUAACAAGGUCUCCGUAGGUGAACCUGCGGAGGGAUCAUUACAGAGUUCAUGCCCUACCGGGUAGAUCUCCCACCCUAUGUUAUUAUUACUUUGUUGCUUUGGCGGGCCGUUAGGCUCCGGCCCGACUACCGGCCCCGGCUGGUAAGCGCCCGCCAGAGGACCCAAAACCCUGAAUAUUAGUGUCGUCUGAGUACUAUAUAAUAGUUAAAACUUUCAACGACGGAUCUCUUGGUUCUG